GUCCCCACCCCUACAUGCUGAUUUACCUCUUUCUCUACUUCUUUCAGAUAAGGCUUAACAAACAACCUGUAUCCAACUAUAUCUUAUCUUAUUUAAAAAGAAUAAUAAACAUUUCCAUUUAAACAGAUAAAAAUGACAGUUCCAUUCAAUUUGUAUACAUUUUAUCCAAAAUUUACAACAUAAGCACAAAUUCAAGAUUUUUCAUACUAAUCUCCAUUCCAUG
This 223-nucleotide long non-coding RNA is filed under the name Mytilus galloprovincialis (Mediterranean mussel). The record is from RNAcentral. Lineage: Eukaryota; Metazoa; Mollusca; Bivalvia; Mytilida; Mytilidae.